CCUAGACAUAUUAGUCUAACAUUCUAUGAAACCCUAAGUUAAUCUGACCAGGGGUUAUGGAGAAACGCUGCGGACAAGUUCAUUUUUAAUGUGGCGGAAGAAAAAGAAAAAGAAAAAGAAGAAGAAUAAUAAAAAUAAUAAGAACUGAGCAAAAACAAUAAGUCUCCAAACUUUGUUUGGGAGACUUAAUUAUGAACAUAUCA
RNAcentral lists this long non-coding RNA (203 nucleotides) under Mytilus galloprovincialis (Mediterranean mussel). The record is from RNAcentral. Lineage: Eukaryota; Metazoa; Mollusca; Bivalvia; Mytilida; Mytilidae.